AGAGUAGAUCCAUACGCGUUAAGUACCGGACAGACGGGGAGUUGCUGCCGGGCGAAAAGUUUUCUUGCGGUGUGUGGAUCGCAUCCCGCUGC
This 92-nucleotide non-coding RNA is filed under the name Mobilibacterium timonense. Its description in RNAcentral is "THF riboswitch". It matches the Rfam family "THF (Tetrahydrofolate) riboswitch aptamer". Rfam says of the family: THF riboswitch presents a pseudoknot that joins P1-P2 and the loop of P3 and two THF binding. Lineage: Bacteria; Bacillati; Bacillota; Clostridia; Peptostreptococcales; Anaerovoracaceae. The record is from RNAcentral.